GAUGAACGCUGGCGGCGUGCCUAAUACAUGCAAGUCGAGCGAACAGACGAGGAGCUUGCUCCUCUGACGUUAGCGGCGGACGGGUGAGUAACACGUGGAUAACCUACCUAUAAGACUGGGAUAACUUCGGGAAACCGGAGCUAAUACCGGAUAAUAUAUUGAACCGCAUGGUUCAAUAGUGAAAGACGGUUUUGCUGUCACUUAUAGAUGGAUCCGCGCCGCAUUAGCUAGUUGGUAAGGUAACGGCUUACCAAGGCAACGAUGCGUAGCCGACCUGAGAGGGUGAUCGGCCACACUGGAACUGAGACACGGUCCAGACUCCUACGGGAGGCAGCAGUAGGGAAUCUGCCGCAAUGGGCGAAAGCUUGACGGAGCAACGCCGCGUGAGUGAUGAAGGUCUUCGGAUCGUAAAACUCUGUUAUUAGGGAAGAACAAAUGUGUAAGUAACUAUGCACGUCUUGACGGGACCUAAUCAGAAAGCCACGGCUAACUACGU
Molecule: ribosomal RNA, 496 nt
Filed under: uncultured bacterium
Lineage: Bacteria
Description: partial 16S ribosomal RNA
Rfam family: Bacterial small subunit ribosomal RNA
Source: RNAcentral